This 434-nucleotide ribosomal RNA is filed under the name uncultured Blautia sp. RNAcentral describes it as "partial 16S ribosomal RNA". It matches the Rfam family "Bacterial small subunit ribosomal RNA", at positions 341 to 792 of the family's 1533-position model. Lineage: Bacteria; Bacillati; Bacillota; Clostridia; Lachnospirales; Lachnospiraceae. The record is from RNAcentral.
ACGGAAGGCAGCAGUGGGGAAUAUUGCACAAUGGGGGAAACCCUGAUGCAGCGACGCCGCGUGAAGGAAGAAGUAUCUCGGUAUGUAAACUUCUAUCAGCAGGGAAGAUAAUGACGGUACCUGACUAAGAAGCCCCGGCUAACUACGUGCCAGCAGCCGCGGUAAUACGUAGGGGGCAAGCGUUAUCCGGAUUUACUGGGUGUAAAGGGAGCGUAGACGGCAUAGCAAGCCAGAUGUGAAAGGUGGGGGCUCAACCCCCAAGCUGCAUUUGGAACUGUUAAGCUGGAGUAUCGGAGAGGUAAGUGGAAUUCCUAGUGUAGCGGUGAAAUGCGUAGAUAUUAGGAGGAACACCAGUGGCGAAGGCGGCUUACUGGACGAUAACUGACGUUGAGGCUCGAAAGCGUGGGGAGCAAACAGGAUUAGAUACCCUGGUA